RNAcentral lists this ribosomal RNA (1002 nucleotides) under uncultured bacterium. RNAcentral's name for it is "bacterial SSU rRNA". It matches the Rfam family "Bacterial small subunit ribosomal RNA", at positions 355 to 1375 of the family's 1533-position model. The record is from RNAcentral.
UGGGGAAUAUUGGGCAAUGGGGGAAACCCUGACCCAGCAACGCCGCGUGAAGGAAGAAGGCCUUCGGGUUGUAAACUUCUUUUACCAGGGACGAAGGACGUGACGGUACCUGGAGAAAAAGCCACGGCUAACUACGUGCCAGCAGCCGCGGUAAUACGUAGGUGGCAAGCGUUGUCCGGAUUUACUGGGUGUAAAGGGCGUGUAGGCGGAGCUGCAAGUCAGAUGUGAAAUCUCCGGGCUUAACCCGGAAACUGCAUUUGAAACUGUAGCCCUUGAGUAUCGGAGAGGCAAGCGGAAUUCCUAGUGUAGCGGUGAAAUGCGUAGAUAUUAGGAGGAACACCAGUGGCGAAGGCGGCUUGCUGGACGACAACUGACGCUGAGGCGCGAAAGCGUGGGGAGCAAACAGGAUUAGAUACCCUGGUAGUCCACGCUGUAAACGAUGAAUACUAGGUGUGGGGGGACUGACCCCUUCCGUGCCGCAGUUAACACAAUAAGUAUUCCACCUGGGGAGUACGACCGCAAGGUUGAAACUCAAAGGAAUUGACGGGGGCCCGCACAAGCAGUGGAUUAUGUGGUUUAAUUCGACGCAACGCGAAGAACCUUACCAGGAUUUGACAUCCCACUAACGAAGUAGAGAUACAUUAGGUACCCUUCGGGGGAAGUGGAGACAGGUGGUGCAUGGUUGUCGUCAGCUCGUGUCGUGAGAUGUUGGGUUAAGUCCCGCAACGAGCGCAACCCCUAUUGUUAGUUGCUACGCAAGAGCACUCUAGCGAGACUGCCGUUGACAAAACGGAGGAAGGCGGGGACGACGUCAAAUCAUCAUGCCCCUUAUGUCCUGGGCUACACACGUAAUACAAUGGCGUUUAACAAAGGGAAGCGAAGCCGCGAGGUGGAGCAAAUCCCGAAAAGGCGUCUCAGUUCGGAUUGCAGGCUGCAACUCGCCUGCAUGAAGCUGGAAUUGCUAGUAAUCGUGGAUCAGCAUGCCACGGUGAAUACGUUCCC